This is a non-coding RNA of Dipodomys ordii (Ord's kangaroo rat), 286 nucleotides long. NCBI's taxonomy places the organism in Eukaryota, Metazoa, Chordata, Mammalia, Rodentia, Heteromyidae. The record is from Rfam.
GGAUGUGAGGGCGAUCUGGCUGCGACAUCUGUCACCCCAUUGAUCGCCAGGGUUGAUUCGGCUGAUCUGGCUGGCUAGGCGGGUGUCCCCUUCCUCCCUCACCGCUCCAUGUGCGUCCCUCCCGAAGCUGCACGCUUGGUCGAAGAGGACGACCAUCUCCGAUAGAGGAGGACCGGUCUUCAGUCAAGGGUAUACGAGUAGCUGUGCUCCCCGGCUAGAACCUCCAAACAAGCUCUCAAGGACCACAGACACAGCGCAGACAGGACCACAGACACAGCGCAGACAG